Long non-coding RNA from Portunus trituberculatus (swimming crab), 473 nucleotides. RefSeq lists it as uncharacterized. NCBI's taxonomy places the organism in Eukaryota, Metazoa, Arthropoda, Malacostraca, Decapoda, Portunidae. The transcript has 4 exons. The record is from RefSeq and is a predicted model, not a curated record.
CGCCAAGAGACUCAAGUGACACUUGACAGGUGUAGUACUCGGAUGAAGCUAUUGGAAAUUUUGACCACUUUCUCCCAUGGAAGGCUUUUAGAGGCGUAAAACUAGUGGUUAACACAGAAGUGGGUAAAUAGACACGAAGAAUAUGGACAAAGUUGGACACUGUUUAGAUUUGCUCCUUUUUCAUCAAAGGAUUUUCUCCCAAGGAAAUCCACAAAGUUCACAGCAGUUCAGUUCGGGUUUUAGGAUAUGGAAGACUACAACUGCGCAGCCUGCUUUCGCGACAAGCUGCAUCUCCUCCUUGUCCCUCUCUUCUGCCUAUUCUGUCGAGGAUCCAUUCCAACCCAUGCAAGGUUGAAAACAUGUUCCCGAAUUUGCUCUCCACACAAUGUCUAGAAGUGGUGGUGACAUAGGAAACAAAAAUGAAGAGAUGAGAUAAGACUGAUCGUAAUAUAAAGGAGCAAGUGAACACCAAG